Molecule: long non-coding RNA, 830 nt
Organism: Frieseomelitta varia
Lineage: Eukaryota; Metazoa; Arthropoda; Insecta; Hymenoptera; Apidae
Exons: 2
Source: RefSeq, a predicted model, not a curated record
AAUUAAAAUUUGAAUUUAAAUAUCUAUAACAAUUUUUUUGAAAACUGUUUAGCAUUCCUUUUCUUCACAAAACGAAACCGAAAGAACUAGCCUCGUUUCAAUCUUCCAUAGUUCUCCAUUCUCCAACCUCACCAGUUUUUUGGAAAAAAUGAAGAAAAGAUCGGACGGGGCGAGCGUCGUUUCCCCGUCCCGGAGAAAACGAUCGUCGUGGUCGAAACCGAGGAACGGUCGACAGGUUGGUUAUGACUAAAUCGUUAGAGUAAUUCUAGGGAUGCUUACGUCUUACGAAUGGUAUGAUACAGUAUACGACUUAAGGAGUUACUCGCUUCUUCGACAGAGGUACACCUUUCCAGAGUAAGGGGUAAGUCGCCGACAGAUCUUCCCUUUCGCGAAACCAAUUUCUUCUUUUUUUCCCUUUAACUUCGUUUCUUUGCUCCUUUCUCUCUAUUUUAUUCACAUUGUUCAUCUUAUUCGUUUGUUGUUUCAAGAUUGGUACACAGGAUUCGAUUGGAGACCUACCCCUAUGUUUUGUAUAUAGACAGAGCGACCGCAUCUCUCGACUGAUCGGUGAGAAUCGACGUAAUGAACGCGGUUCAGGAUUUCGUACGUUCGGUUUUGAUAUGACUCAACGUUGUACUUUAUCAACCUCGAUAAUUGCGACUCGAGCUUCCGUUGGAUUGAUGGAUGCGCUACAUUCACCCGGGAUUUGUCGUUGGUUUAUUGGUUCCUCUAGUGAUGUUCGGUUCGUGGCAAGGGAGUGCAUGUUGUGCCGAUUCUGGAAUCAGUUCUGAGAUCGACAUCGAUUAUGUGUUAUUUUUGAAAUUAUAAUA